UGUGCUAAGGUAGCAUAAUCAUUUGGCUUUUAAUUAAGGUCUCGUAUGAAAGGUUUAACAUAACUUUAAACGUCUCCCCCUCAAAUCCUAAGUUAGUAUCUAGGUGAUAAACCCCAGAUAACCCAGAGGGACGACAAGACCCUAAAAGCUAUUUUAUUUCGGGUGGACAAGGUAAAGGGCCUAGGAAGUUUGCUGGGGCGGCAAGUAUGAUUUUUACAGCCAUAUUUUUAAUAGACUUGUGAGCAGUUUCUCCCUUUUAAGGGAUUAGAGUUACUUUAGGGAUAACAGCACAAUUCUCUAUAAUAGACCUAAUUGUCUAGGGAGUUUGUGACCUCGAUGUUGAAUUAGGGAGUCUUUAGAUGGCAG
Molecule: ribosomal RNA, 366 nt
Filed under: Apseudopsis latreillii
Lineage: Eukaryota; Metazoa; Arthropoda; Malacostraca; Tanaidacea; Apseudidae
Description: 16S ribosomal RNA
Rfam family: Bacterial large subunit ribosomal RNA
Source: RNAcentral